GAGCUCGUGGGUCUGCGGGUUCUUGAAGAUGCCGGCCUCCGCCCAGCCGCCUGCCACGAAGAGCACCGCGCAGUCGGCCUGCACCGCGGGGAUACACAAACACACCGGGUUGCGGGAGGGGGCAUCGGACUGACUUUGGGAGGUUCCGAAUCCCAUUGUAAAGCUGGGGAAUGCCCUCCAGAACUCAGAUGGCCAAAUGGGAUUCAUGGACCACCCUAGAUGCGGUGCAUGGGGGUCCUGCUUCCCAGUUCCUCUCAUUUAAUCUCAUCUAAAUCAGCUUUUAGUCCCUUCUUUCUGGACCAACUGAUCUACUAGUCUGAGUGUAAGAAAACCUGGUCCCUCUAGGCCCCCCCAGGACAACAGGAUCUGAGCUUCAUGAGAGUGAUGGGACUUUCAGUCCUGUCCUCCCUAAUUCUUUCAGGAUUGAUGGAUGAUGGCCAUAGGAAUGUUUCUGAAGGCAUGGACUGCUUUACCUGGGAAGUGCCCCUGAUCAUGGUCAUGAUGAAGUCUCUGUGGCCUGGAGCAUCGAUGAUAAUGCUGUAAUCCUUUUCCUUCCCGUCUCCACAUGUCCAGAAGUUUGGUCCCCAUAAAAUUACAGUGGGCUGGGCACAGUUGCUCACGCCUGUAAUCUCAGCACUUUGGGAGCCUGAAGCAGGAGGAUCACUUGAACUUAGGAAAAGAAGGCCAGCCUGGGCAAUAUGAUUUAACCCAUCUCUACAAAAAAUUAAAAAUAGAGAAAAGAAAAAUUAGCCAGGCACAGUAGUGUGCACCUGAGGGGGCUGAAGUGGGAGAAUCACUUGAGCCUGGGAAGCAGAGGUUGCAGUGUGCCAAGAUCACAUGACUGCACUCCAUUCUGGGUGACAGAGUGAAACACUGUAUCAAAAAAGUAAAAAAAAAAAAAAAAAAAAAAAAAAAAGGGGGUUCUGCUUAAUUCUGCAAGAUUUGGGCAAAAAAAGUAUAUUCAGCCUCACCCACCCUCCCUUUAUCCAAUCACCCAGUCAAGGAAGAAGUCUCUGACAUUGGGCCUAAGGGUAAGGAGUGGCAUUUUUUAAGCUGAACAGGUUCUCAUUUCAGAUUUGGUGAGAACCAGAAGGAGGGGCAGUGCAGGUAGGGCUGGGCUCAUAAAAGCAGGAGGCAAAGAGUUCACUCUGUUGACAGUUGUUGUGGUUCUUGUUGAUCUCUGGAUCAGUUCUGCUGCUUCUUUUUUAGAAGUAGGACUUAAAGGAGCAAGCUGCAGACUACAGAGGGUCAGGAUCUCUUGUACUAGAAAUGGGUCAGAGGUGGGGGGAUAGAAGUUGAUUGGAUGAACAGGGGCUGUCUAAGCUCCCAGUGGUCAGGGGAUGGCCAAUGCAGGAGAAAGGUCAGGGUCAGGACUGCUUGGAAGUACCCGAUAUAGCCAAGGAAUUAGUCCAGGAGAUGUGAGCCUGGGCAAAUCAGUUUUACUUUUCAGUUUAACCUUUCAUGUCCCUGGCUCUGAGCUAGGCACCGAAGUGGGAAGAGGCAAUGCAGGAGCGGUGGUAGGAGGCUGCCCCUACAAGAUGUGUGCAAGAUGGGAGGUGACCCAGGCCUGAGUGGGGCUGAGGGUAGACUACUCUGUUAGGGAUUCUGGAAUUGAUCCUUAAUUGAAUCCCCAAGAAGUCCUCCACUGCUGGCAAGGUCACCAAGUUUGCAGCAAAAGCCAGCAAGAAAUGAAGCCCACCCUCCUCUCUGCAGUGUCCUCAGCUCCUCCUUCCCCCCCAAUAACUAAACAUUCAAUGAAUGUAUGUAUUUCCUAAAUAAAGUGGAUAAAAC
Long non-coding RNA from Homo sapiens (human), 1791 nucleotides. Ensembl annotates it as long intergenic non-protein coding RNA 2746. The record is from Ensembl. Lineage: Eukaryota; Metazoa; Chordata; Mammalia; Primates; Hominidae.